Molecule: ribosomal RNA, 253 nt
Filed under: uncultured bacterium
Lineage: Bacteria
Description: partial 16S ribosomal RNA
Rfam family: Bacterial small subunit ribosomal RNA
Source: RNAcentral
UACAGAGGGGGCAAGCGUUGUUCGGAAUUACUGGGCGUAAAGGGCGCGUAGGCGGCCUGUUAAGUCAGACGUGAAAUCCCUCGGCUCAACCGGGGAACUGCGUCUGAUACUGGCGGGCUUGAAUUCGGGAGAGGGAUGUGGAAUUCCAGGUGUAGCGGUGAAAUGCGUAGAUAUCAGGAAGAACACCCGUGGCGAAAGCGGCUCUCUGGAACGGUACUGACGCUGAGACGCGAAAGCGUGGGGAGCGAACAGG